AGGGUUUGAUUCUGGCUCAGAUUGAACGCUGGCGGCACGCUUAACACAUGCAAGUCGAACGGCAGCAUAAUAGGAGCUUGCUCUUAUUGAUGGCGAGUGGCGAACGGGUGAGUAACGCGUAGGAAUAUGCCUUAAAGAGGGGGAUAACUUGGGGAAACUCAAGCUAAUACCGCGUAAGCUCUCCGGAGUAAAGCUAGGGACCUUCAGGCCUGGCGCUUUAAGAAUAGCCUGCGUCUGAUUAGCUAGUUGGUGGGGUAAAGGCCUACCAAGGCGAUGAUCGGUAGCUGGUCUGAGAGGGUGGACAGCCACACUGGGACUGAGACACGGCCCAGACUCCUACGGGAGGCAGCAGUGGGGAAUAUUGGACAAUGGGGGAAAACCCUGAUCCAGCGAUGCCGCGUGUGUGAAGAAGGCCUGAGGGUUGUAAAGCACUUUUAGUGGGGAGGAUGGGCGCAAGGUUAAGUGCUAGGCGCGUUGACGUUACCCACCAUAAACAGCACCGGCUAACUCCGUGCCAGCC
Molecule: ribosomal RNA, 520 nt
Filed under: uncultured Legionellaceae bacterium
Lineage: Bacteria; Pseudomonadati; Pseudomonadota; Gammaproteobacteria; Legionellales; Legionellaceae
Description: bacterial SSU rRNA
Rfam family: Bacterial small subunit ribosomal RNA
Source: RNAcentral